Molecule: non-coding RNA, 881 nt
Organism: Herpailurus yagouaroundi (jaguarundi)
Lineage: Eukaryota; Metazoa; Chordata; Mammalia; Carnivora; Felidae
Source: the annotation of a RefSeq genome assembly
GCCUCAAAAGAGACACUGAGCAGAAACAAAUUAGUGCUGUGCUCCAUAGUCCAUGUCGAAUCAAGGAUUGCUAUUAUUAGUGGUGUUUUUAUUGCACCAAAGCUCUUCCGUAUUCUCAGCACCCUGACCGUUGGGGGUUCCUCUCCCCAUUUUGUGGUCAGACCUGUCCCUGCCCUCUGGCUCCUCCCUCCAGCCUCUCUCUCUCUGUCUCUCACCAGCAGGUGCCUCAGGGAUGCAGAGCUCAGACACUAACCUGCCCUCUGCCACCCACCUAAUCAGUCUCCUUCCAGCAGGUGCAGCUGGGAGGUCACCCUGGGCUUCUCUCCACCAGCGGGAAAGCAGAACCAUGCUGGGUCCCCUCGCCUUCCUGUGCGCCCUCCUGUUUCCCGGUGGCGUGGCAGCGAUCAGUGUGGAGCAGCCAGCCGUGGUGGUGGCACGUGCAGGCAGCUGGGCCACGCUGCCCUGCAAAGCCAGCACCUCGGUCAGCUACAUCCACUGGUACCGCCACCAGGAGGGUACAGCCCCCAAGAGGAUCCUCAUGAUGGAUAUGUCCAGCUCAUAUGUGACCAGAGAUGGUGUCUUGACAGCAGACAAGGUCCACGCCAAGAAAGGCAAGGAUAGCACAAGCUCUAGCCUGUUGCUGCUGAAGCUGGCGAAGAGCGAUGAGGGCGUGUAUUACUGUGCUGUUUGGGAAGAUCAGAGCACAGCCUUACAGGAAGCUCAGAGCUGUGCCAGACUGACGAUUCAAGAAUCUGACCAUCUCCAAUGAAGAAUGUGGGAAUAAAAUAUCGUGCAAAUAAUUUCAAGGCCGAGAGACUCUCUGGGGAUUCCGCACAAAAUGGGUGCAAGCAGAGACUGGAAGGCAGUUCCUGACUCUAGUU